RNAcentral lists this long non-coding RNA (587 nucleotides) under Sorghum bicolor (sorghum). RNAcentral's name for it is "long non-coding RNA (SBIC_LNC010799)". The record is from RNAcentral. Lineage: Eukaryota; Viridiplantae; Streptophyta; Magnoliopsida; Poales; Poaceae.
AUUAAGGUCGGUUUAAUCUGACGACCCACGUUCAUUUGAAGGGACUAUAUAAGGAGGCCCCCUGGCCCCUGGAGAACAUACCUCUUCUACAGAAUCAAAGCUAGGGUUUCAAUUAUUCAUCCAAGUAGAGAAGAUCCCUCUAGUUCAUCUAGUUCUAGUUCUAGUUCAUCUAGUUCUAGUUCUAGUUAGUUCUAGUUGUAAUCUAGAAAAUAGGGAGAGAGAAGAGGAGAGCGGAGGAGGAGCCAGAUCUGUCGGAUCUUCCUCAACAUUGUACUUUUGCAGCAACUGGUUCGUUCUUCAUCGUUCUCCAAGUUCUUCAAUUCAUAAUUCCUGAGUUCUUUAAUUACUUUUAUUUACAUUCAAGUUAUUUAUGGGAUUCCCGCUUGCAUCAAGUGCUCUAGUCUUUGAAACGCUAGAGUAGUAAUUAAUAGAUUAGACGUGGUGUUUAGUCUUGCAAUUACCUAGAAUUGCACCCAAUCCUGCGGAUUGUUGUAGUAGCCCUAGGGUAGUGACAGCCCUAACGGUUGACGUAUUCCACCUCGUUCGGAUCGGUGUUUGUAGGACCGUAGUCAGAGCUUUCUAGCCCC